RNAcentral lists this ribosomal RNA (707 nucleotides) under uncultured bacterium. Its description in RNAcentral is "bacterial SSU rRNA". It matches the Rfam family "Bacterial small subunit ribosomal RNA", at positions 1 to 705 of the family's 1533-position model. The record is from RNAcentral.
CCCUUAGAGUUUGAUCCUGGCUCAGAUUGAACGCUGGCGGCAUGCCUUACACAUGCAAGUCGAACGGUAACAGGGAGCUUGCUCCGCUGACGAGUGGCGAACGGGUGAGUAAUACAUCGGAACGUGCCCAGUAAUGGGGGAUAGCUCGGCGAAAGCCGGAUUAAUACCGCAUACGCCCUGAGGGGGAAAGUGGGGGACCGCAAGGCCUCACGUUAUUGGAGCGGCCGAUGGCUGAUUAGCUAGUUGGUAGGGUAAAGGCCUACCAAGGCGACGAUCAGUAGCUGGUCUGAGAGGACGAUCAGCCACACUGGGACUGAGACACGGCCCAGACUCCUACGGGAGGCAGCAGUGGGGAAUUUUGGACAAUGGGGGAAGCCCUGAUCCAGCAAUGCCGCGUGUGCGAAGAAGGCUUUCGGGUUGUAAAGCACUUUUGUCAGGGAAGAAAUCCUUUGGGCUAAUACCCUAGGGGGAUGACGGUACCUGAAGAAUAAGCACCGGCUAACUACGUGCCAGCAGCCGCGGUAAUACGUAGGGUGCAAGCGUUAAUCGGAAUUACUGGGCGUAAAGCGUGCGCAGGCGGUUGUGUAAGACAGGUGUGAAAUCCCCGGGCUUAACCUGGGAAUUGCAUUUGUGACUGCACGACUAGAGUGUGUCAGAGGGGGGUGGAAUUCCACGUGUAGCAGUGAAAUGCGUAGAUAUGUGGAGGA